RNAcentral lists this unclassified non-coding RNA (1350 nucleotides) under Hevea brasiliensis (rubber tree). Lineage: Eukaryota; Viridiplantae; Streptophyta; Magnoliopsida; Malpighiales; Euphorbiaceae. The record is from RNAcentral.
UUUUUUUUGUUAUUGUGCUGGAAAAUGGUAUGCAUUUAGGGAUGAACAUUCAGUUGGUGGAGUCUGAGAUUCUCUGACGCAUAAAUUAACUGAAUUUCUUAAGUAUAUUUGAUGAACCAGUUGGGCUUUCAGUUUUACACCCCAAUAUAAUUGACAAGAUAAAAUUUAUGUAAAAUUAUUGAGUAAUUUUAGAUAAUACAUUCACUCAAUUUGGUUUUAAAUUCCAGAAACUGAAUGAAAAUCAAAAUUUUGAAAAUCCUAAUCAAAAUCAUUUAACCAAAAUGCAUAUGUUCUGUUAGGUAAUUUGGUUUAACUGAAUAUUAUCCACCACUAAAAGUGUCAUUCCAGUGUAUUAUUGUUUGCUUCCAUUGAUAUUACUAACCCAUUGAAUAUAAAGUUUACUUCUAAUGCUCUCAGCUAAACCCUUUUAUUUGAUCAUAUUUCUGAAGGAGCAUAAGGGGAUUAAUCAGGACUGUAGUCAAUCAAAUGGCUUGGAGAGUUAAGCGUCUAUCUAUUCCAGCUAAAAGAUGGGAAAACAUACAACUCUAAAUGUGCAAAGAUAUUUUGGUGAAUAAUUAAAAUUUCUGAAUUUUAAUUUUUCCAAUGAUAUCUGCAAGUACAAAAUUAGAAGGGUAUGGGAAUUAUGGUGGGGGUUGGUUGUGUGAUGGGCAUGGUAACACUUGCACAUUAAUUGGUAGUAUGCAUGAUCAACAAUGUUCCUUUCUCAAUUAUUUGGCCUAUGGUUUAUAAUUUUCAAAAUCAUGGAGAAAAUUUUCAUUAGUUGAUUGAUUUCUCAUAAUUCAAUUAAAUUUGAAGGCAUUUAUGGAUUCUGUUAAUUAUAAAAAUUACUGUUAUAUAUGUAUUUAUAAUAAUAAUUUUCUUCCUUGUACUGUAAUUUGAUGUCAUAUAUGCAUUGACAUUUGCAUGGACACUACAAUGUUGAGGUUGAAACAUAAGUAAUUAGAGGCAAGAGUCAACAGAGUCUGUGUGUGAUCAUAAUUGAAUCCUCCUUUUAUAUGCCCUCCACUAUUAAAAAUGCUGCAAACUCUUCUUACAAGUAACAGCAUACGUUUUUAAUCUCUUGAUUCCAUUGUUUAAUAUUCUAUUCCUAAUUUACAAUUGUAUAGGCCCCAUUUGGUUCACUAAAAACUGACUCAGUGAUGGUAACGAAUGGAAAUGAUUCCCUCUGUGGGUGCUUGGAAACUCUUUUUUUCAUUUCCAUUCUCACCGGGAAUUCAAUUCCCACAACUAAGGGAGUCACAGUUCUCCAUUUCAACCAAAGAAUCAAACACAGGAAUAAGAAUGAUUAUCUUGUUAAAGGCUGAAUACUUAAUCUUACCCAUGUUCUUU